Molecule: ribosomal RNA, 432 nt
Filed under: uncultured bacterium
Lineage: Bacteria
Description: partial 16S ribosomal RNA
Rfam family: Bacterial small subunit ribosomal RNA
Source: RNAcentral
AACGAACGCUGGCGGCAUGCCUAACACAUGCAAGUCGAACGAGACCUUCGGGUCUAGUGGCGCACGGGUGCGUAACGCGUGGGAACCUGCCCUUAGGUUCGGAAUAACUCCCCGAAAGGGGUGCUAAUACCGGAUAAUGUCUUCGGACCAAAGAUUUAUCGCCUUUGGAUGGGCCCGCGUUGUAUUAGCUAGUUGGUAGGGUAAAAGCCUACCAAGGCGAAGAUCCAUAGCUGGUCUGAGAGGAUGAUCAGCCACACUGGGAAUGAGACACGGCCCAGACUCGUACGGGAGGCAGCAGUGGGGAAUAUUGGACAAUGGGCGAAAGCCUGAUCCAGCAUUGCCGCGUGAGUGAAGAAGGCCUUAGGGUUGUAAAGCUCUUUUACCCGGGAUGAUAAGGCCAGUACCGGAAGAAUAAGCUCCGGCUAACUCCGU